Macaca fascicularis (crab-eating macaque) is the source of this 148-nucleotide unclassified non-coding RNA. It matches the Rfam family "Metazoan signal recognition particle RNA". From Rfam's summary of the family: The signal recognition particle (SRP) is a universally conserved ribonucleoprotein. It is involved in the co-translational targeting of proteins to membranes. NCBI's taxonomy places the organism in Eukaryota, Metazoa, Chordata, Mammalia, Primates, Cercopithecidae. The record is from Ensembl.
GCCGGGCGUGGUGGUGCAUGCCUGUAGUCCUAGCUACUUGGGAGGCUGAGUCAGAAGAAUCACUUGAACCCGGGAGGUGGAAGUUGCAGUGAGCCGAGACCAUGCCAUUGCACCCCAGCCUGGGUGACAGAGUGAGACUCUGUCUCAA